AAAAAUCGAGCAUGUAACCGAUUAUACCAUUUGGCUAACCGGUUACACCUUACGUGAAAAUAGAUUUCCUUCUGUGAUAACCGAUUAACGUCAUAGGUUAACCGGUUACAACAACGAAAUAAACUAUUUUUUACUACUUGAAAGUGUUUAUGAUGUUACUAUAACCGAUCACCACCCCGUAUUAACUGGUUACAACACUUAA
RNAcentral lists this long non-coding RNA (202 nucleotides) under Lathyrus oleraceus (garden pea). RNAcentral's name for it is "Pisum sativum (pea) long non-coding RNA (PSAT_LNC003388)". Lineage: Eukaryota; Viridiplantae; Streptophyta; Magnoliopsida; Fabales; Fabaceae. The record is from RNAcentral.